This 492-nucleotide ribosomal RNA is filed under the name uncultured bacterium. Its description in RNAcentral is "partial 16S ribosomal RNA". It matches the Rfam family "Bacterial small subunit ribosomal RNA", at positions 29 to 507 of the family's 1533-position model. The record is from RNAcentral.
AGUGAACGCUGGCGGUAGGCCUAACACAUGCAAGUCGAACGGCAGCACAGUAAGAGCUUGCUCUUACGGGUGGCGAGUGGCGGACGGGUGAGGAAUACAUCGGAAUCUACUUUUUCGUGGGGGAUCACGUAGGGAAACUUACGCUAAUACCGCAUACGACCUACGGGUGAAAGCAGGGGAUCUUCUGACCUUGCGCGAUUGAAUGAGCCGAUGUCGGAUUAGCUAGUUGGCGGGGUAAAGGCCCACCAAGGCGACGAUCCGUAGCUGGUCUGAGAGGCUGAUCAGCCACACUGGAACUGAGACGCGGUCCAGACUCCUACGGGAGGCAGCAGUGGGGAAUAUUGGACAAUGGGCGCAAGCCUGAUCCAGCCAUACCGCGUGGGUGAAGAAGGCCUUCGGGUUGUAAAGCCCUUUUGUUGGGAAAGAAAAGCAGCAGGUUAAUACCCCGCUGUUCUGACGGUACCCAAAGAAUAAGCACCGGCUAACUUCGUG